CGGGCCGUAGUAUACCGGUAGUACAUACGCUUCGGGUGCGUAUAGACCGGGUUCAAUUCCCGGCGGCCCGA
This is a non-coding RNA of Candidatus Kaiserbacteria bacterium, 71 nucleotides long. NCBI's taxonomy places the organism in Bacteria, Candidatus Kaiseribacteriota. The record is from Rfam.